GGUCCUGUAGCUCAGUGGUUAGGGCACUAGCCACAUACACUAGAGCUGGCAGGUUUGAACCCGGCCGGGGCCU
Molecule: transfer RNA, 73 nt
Filed under: Otolemur garnettii (small-eared galago)
Lineage: Eukaryota; Metazoa; Chordata; Mammalia; Primates; Galagidae
Rfam family: tRNA
About the family: Transfer RNA (tRNA) molecules are approximately 80 nucleotides in length. Their secondary structure includes four short double-helical elements and three loops (D, anti-codon, and T loops).
Source: Rfam by way of RNAcentral